Molecule: ribosomal RNA, 409 nt
Filed under: Hyphomonadaceae bacterium
Lineage: Bacteria; Pseudomonadati; Pseudomonadota; Alphaproteobacteria; Hyphomonadales; Hyphomonadaceae
Description: bacterial SSU rRNA
Rfam family: Bacterial small subunit ribosomal RNA
Source: RNAcentral
CAACUUGAGAGUUUGAUUCUGGCUCAGAACGAACGCUGGCGGCAGGCUUAACACAUGCAAGUCGAACGCCCCGCAAGGGGAGUGGCAGACGGGUGAGUAACGCGUGGGAACGUACCUUUCGCUUCGGAAUAGUCCCGGGAAACUGGGUUUAAUGCCGGAUACGCCGUAUUGGGAAAGAUUUAUCGGCGAAAGAUCGGCCCGCGUUAGAUUAGCUAGUUGGCGGUGUAAUGGACCACCAAGGCUACGAUCUAUAGCUGGUCUGAGAGGAUGAUCAGCCACACUGGGACUGAGACACGGCCCAGACUCCUACGGGAGGCAGCAGUGGGGAAUCUUGGACAAUGGGCGCAAGCCUGAUCCAGCCAUGCCGCGUGAGUGAAGAAGGCCUUAGGGUUGUAAAACUCUUUCGCCG